GUGGGGAAUAUUGGACAAUGGGCGAAAGCCUGAUCCAGCCAUGCCGCGUGUGUGAAGAAGGUCUUCGGAUUGUAAAGCACUUUAAGUUGGGAGGAAGGGUAGUAACCUAAUACGUUGCUACUUUGACGUUACCGACAGAAUAAGCACCGGCUAACUUCGUGCCAGCAGCCGCGGUAAUACGAAGGGUGCAAGCGUUAAUCGGAAUUACUGGGCGUAAAGCGCGCGUAGGUGGUUCAGUAAGUUGGAAGUGAAAUCCCCGGGCUCAACCUGGGAACUGCUUUCAAAACUGCUGAGCUAGAGUACGGUAGAGGGUGGUGGAAUUUCCUGUGUAGCGGUGAAAUGCGUAGAUAUAGGAAGGAACACCAGUGGCGAAGGCGACCACCUGGACUGAUACUUACACUGAGGUGCGAAAGCGUGGGGAGCAAACAGGAUUAGAAACCCCGGUAGUCC
Molecule: ribosomal RNA, 450 nt
Filed under: uncultured bacterium
Lineage: Bacteria
Description: partial 16S ribosomal RNA
Rfam family: Bacterial small subunit ribosomal RNA
Source: RNAcentral